AGAGUUUGAUCAUGGCUCAGAAUCAACGCUGGCGGCGCGCUUAACACAUGCAAGUCGCACGAGAAAGCAGGAGCAAUCUUGUGAGUAAAGUGGCGUACGGGUGAGUAACACGUGGAUCAUCUACCUUCUAGUGGGGAAUACCCCCGGGAAACUGGGGACAAUACCGCAUAAGCUCGUGAGAGGAAAGCAGCAAUGCGCUGGAAGAGGAGUCCGCGGCUGAUUAGCUAGUUGGCGGGGUAAUGGCCCACCAAGGCGAAGAUCGGUAGCCGGCCUGAGAGGGCACACGGCCACACUGGCACUGAAACACGGGCCAGACUCCUACGGGAGGCAGCAGUGGGGAAUCUUGCACAAUGGAGGAAACUCUGAUGCAGCGACGCCGCGUGAGCGAUGAAGCCCCUCGGGGUGUAAAGCUCUUUCGACGGGAACGAUAAUGACGGUACCCGAAGAAGAAGCUGCGGCUAACUACGUGCCAGCAGCCGCGGUAAUACGUAGGCAGCAAGCGUUGUUCGGAAUUACUGGGCGUAAAGAGUGUGUAGGCGGUGCUCCAAGUCUGUUGUGAAAUCUCCCGGCUUAACCGGGAGGGUGCGGCGGAAACUGGUGUGCUAGAGGGUGGGAGAGGUAAGCGGAAUUCCUGGUGUAGCGGUGAAAUGCGUAGAUAUCAGGAGGAACACCUGUGGUGUAGACAGCUUACUGGACCACUUCUGACGCUGAGACACGAAAGCGUGGGUAGCAAACAGGAUUAGAUACCCUAGUAGUCC
Molecule: ribosomal RNA, 758 nt
Filed under: uncultured bacterium
Lineage: Bacteria
Description: bacterial SSU rRNA
Rfam family: Bacterial small subunit ribosomal RNA
Source: RNAcentral